CCUACGGGUGGCAGCAGUGGGGAAUAUUGGACAAUGGGCGAAAGCCUGAUCCAGCCAUGCCGCGUGUGUGAAGAAGGCCUUCGGGUUGUAAAGCACUUUCAGUGGGGAAGAAAGCCUUGGGGCUAAUACCCUCGAGGAAGGACAUCACCCACAGAAGAAGCACCGGCUAACUCCGUGCCAGCAGCCGCGGUAAUACGGAGGGUGCGAGCGUUAAUCGGAAUUACUGGGCGUAAAGCGCGCGUAGGCGGUCUGAUAAGCCGGUUGUGAAAGCCCCGGGCUCAACCUGGGAACGGCAUCCGGAACUGUCAGGCUAGAGUGCAGGAGAGGAAGGUAGAACUCCCGGUGUAGCGGUGAAAUGCGUAGAGAUCGGGAGGAAUACCAGUGGCGAAGGCGGCCUUCUGGACUGACACUGACGCUGAGGUGCGAAAGCGUGGGUAGCAAACAGGAUUAGAUACCCCAGUAGUC
This 465-nucleotide ribosomal RNA is filed under the name Vreelandella stevensii. Its description in RNAcentral is "partial 16S ribosomal RNA". It matches the Rfam family "Bacterial small subunit ribosomal RNA", at positions 338 to 795 of the family's 1533-position model. The record is from RNAcentral. Lineage: Bacteria; Pseudomonadati; Pseudomonadota; Gammaproteobacteria; Oceanospirillales; Halomonadaceae.